Molecule: ribosomal RNA, 253 nt
Filed under: uncultured microorganism
Description: partial 16S ribosomal RNA
Rfam family: Bacterial small subunit ribosomal RNA
Source: RNAcentral
UACGGAGGGGGCAAGCGUUGUUCGGAGUUACUGGGCGUAAAGCGCACGUAGGCGGUGCGGUAAGUCAGGGGUUAAAGGCUGCAGCUCAACUGCAGUAAGGCCUUUGAUACUAUCGUGCUAGAGUGUCAGAGAGGAUGGCGGAAUUCCCGGUGUAGCGGUGAAAUGCGUAGAUAUCGGGAGGAAGGCCGGUGGCGAAGGCGGCCAUCUGGCUGAUAACUGACGCUGAGGUGCGAGAGCGUGGGGAGCAAACAGG